GAUGAACGCUGGCGGCGUGCCUAAUACAUGCAAGUCGAGCGAACGGACGAGAAGCUUGCUUCUCUGAUGUUAGCGGCGGACGGGUGAGUAACACGUGGAUAACCUACCUAUAAGACUGGGAUAACUUCGGAAAACCGGAGCUAAUACCGGAUAAUAUUUUGAACCGCAUGGUUCAACAGUGAAAGACGGUCUUGCUGUCACUUAUAGAUGGAUCCGCGCUGCAUUAGCUAGUUGGUAAGGUAACGGCUUACCAAGGCAACGAUGCAUAGCCGACCUGAGAGGGUGAUCGGCCACACUGGAACUGAGACACGGUCCAGACUCCUACGGGAGGCAGCAGUAGGGAAUCUUCCGCAAUGGGCGAAAGCCUGACGGAGCAACGCCGCGUGAGUGAUGAAGGUCUUCGGAUCGUAAAACUCUGUUAUUAGGGAAGAACAAAUGUGUAAGUAACUAUGCACAUCUUGACGGUACCUAAUCAGAAAGCCACGGCUAACUACGUG
Molecule: ribosomal RNA, 497 nt
Filed under: uncultured bacterium
Lineage: Bacteria
Description: partial 16S ribosomal RNA
Rfam family: Bacterial small subunit ribosomal RNA
Source: RNAcentral